CAAAUUUUAACCAAAAAAAGUUUCGAACUUUAUAUGUCCCCCUUUAACCUUUGAUAUCCGUUCUCAUUAAAUUGUAAUAAGAUGACUAGAGGCCAGCUAAGCAAAUAUAUAUUUAUAUACAUAUCAAGAGGAAAAACCAAACACACAUAGUAUGGUAUGAGGAAACAGCAAAAGCUAUAGUAAGGAUUUCAAGAAUUUACUUCAACCCCCACCCAAUGAAUCAUUUAAAAGAAAACUCAGAAGAUAGAUGACAGAAGAUGAGACGAAACCGAUAUAAGAAAAAAAUUAGAUAACACCAAACCGAAGUAUGGUUUAAAUGGCACCAACAGUACCAAUUUUACUACAACUGUUCGAUAACUACCAUUGAAAUGGGCACAAGCAUUUUUGAC
RNAcentral lists this long non-coding RNA (389 nucleotides) under Mytilus galloprovincialis (Mediterranean mussel). The record is from RNAcentral. Lineage: Eukaryota; Metazoa; Mollusca; Bivalvia; Mytilida; Mytilidae.